UACGGAGGGGGCUAGCGUUGUUCGGAAUUACUGGGCGUAAAGGGCUUGUAGGUGGCCAACUAAGUCAGACGUGAAAUCCCUCGGCUUAACCGGGGAACUGCGCCUGAUACUGGAUGGCUAGAGUGUGGGAGAGGGAUGCGGAAUUCCAGGUGUAGCGGUGAAAUGCGUAGAUAUCUGGAGGAACACCGGUGGCGAAGGCGGCAUCCUGGACCACGACUGACACUGAAAAGCGAAAGCCAGGGGAGCAAACGGG
RNAcentral lists this ribosomal RNA (253 nucleotides) under uncultured bacterium. Its description in RNAcentral is "partial 16S ribosomal RNA". It matches the Rfam family "Bacterial small subunit ribosomal RNA", at positions 524 to 776 of the family's 1533-position model. The record is from RNAcentral.